UUAGGAAUAUUCGUCAAUGGGGGAAACCCUGAACGAGCAAUGCCGCGUGAAGGAUGACGGUCCUAUGGAUUGUAAACUUCUGUUGUUAGGGAAGAACGAGCUAUAUAGGAAAUGAUAUAGCAGUGACGGUACCUUUCAAGAAAGCUCCGGCUAACUACGUG
Molecule: ribosomal RNA, 161 nt
Filed under: uncultured Bifidobacterium sp.
Lineage: Bacteria; Bacillati; Actinomycetota; Actinomycetes; Bifidobacteriales; Bifidobacteriaceae
Description: partial 16S ribosomal RNA
Rfam family: Bacterial small subunit ribosomal RNA
Source: RNAcentral